This is a long non-coding RNA of Haliotis rubra (blacklip abalone), 99 nucleotides long. RefSeq lists it as uncharacterized. The transcript is spliced from 2 exons. The record is from RefSeq and is a predicted model, not a curated record. Lineage: Eukaryota; Metazoa; Mollusca; Gastropoda; Lepetellida; Haliotidae.
GAGCAUUGGCGACCACCCAGGUCAAAGGCUACACUUUUGUGUCACCCACAUGAGUGUCACAUGCCACAGCGACACAACAAAUAAAUACAUCUCUCACGA